GAUGAACGCUAGCGACAGGCUUAACACAUGCAAGUCGAGGGGCAGCAUAAAAGUAGCAAUACUUUGGUGGCGACCGGCGCACGGGUGAGUAACGCGUAUGCAACCUACCUAUCAGAGGGGGAUAACCCGGCGAAAGUCGGACUAAUACCGCAUAAAACAGGGGCACCGCAUGGUGAUAUUUGUUAAAAAUUUAUUGCUGAUAGAUGGGCAUGCGUUCCAUUAGGUAGUUGGAGAGGUAACGGCUCACCAAGCCUACGAUGGAUAGGGGAACUGAGAGGUUGGUCCCCCAACUGGUACUGAGACACGGACCAGACUCCUACGGGAGCAGCAGUGAGGAAUAUUGGUCAAUGGGGCAGAGCCUGAACCAGCCAAGUCGCGUGAAGGAAGAAGGAUCUAUGGUUCGUAAACUUCUUUUGCUAGGGGAAUAAAGUGCAGGACGUGUCCUGUUUUGUAUGUACCCUGAGAAUAAGGAUCGGCUAACUCCGUGCCCAGCAGCCGAC
RNAcentral lists this ribosomal RNA (500 nucleotides) under uncultured bacterium. RNAcentral describes it as "bacterial SSU rRNA". It matches the Rfam family "Bacterial small subunit ribosomal RNA", at positions 28 to 518 of the family's 1533-position model. The record is from RNAcentral.